Molecule: ribosomal RNA, 1458 nt
Filed under: human gut metagenome
Description: bacterial LSU rRNA
Rfam family: Bacterial large subunit ribosomal RNA
Source: RNAcentral
CGAAUAUAUUUACCGGAGGUAAAGCACUGAAUGGUCGAGGGGUCGAGAGACUACCAACACCUAUCAAACUAAGAAUACCGGAUAAAUGAGUUCGGGAGUCAGACUACGUGAGAUAAGUCUCGUGGUCAAAAGGGAAACAGCCCAGACCCACAGCUAAGGUCCCCAAUGUAUGCUAAGUGGAAAACGAUGUGACAAUGCUAAGACAACUAGGAUGUUGGCUUAGAAGCAGCCACUCAUUCAAAGAGUGCGUAAUAGCUCACUAGUCGAGUGAUGUUGCGCGGAAAAUUCAACGGGGCUAAGCAUACAACCGAAGCUUGGGCAGUAGAAAUACUGGGUAGGGGAGCGUUCUGUACGGGCAGAAGCAUCAGCGGAAGCAGAUGUGGACUGUACAGAAGUGAGAAUGCCGGAAUGAGUAGCGAGAAUUGUGUGAGAAUCAUAAUGGCCGAAAAUCUAAGGUUUCCGGGGGUAGGGUCGUCCACCCCGGGUUAGCCGGGAGCUAAGGCGAGGCCGCGAGGCGUAGUCGAUGCACAAACGGUAGAGAUUCCGUUGCCGCCAGAUCUUAAGUAACUGACACGAGGGUAGAGUUCAACCCGGCCGAUGGUAGAGCCGGGCGAAAGGGACUGAAGAAUAGUAGGGAAGUGAACGAAGCCAGCGGCGAGAAAAGGUUAUGUAUGAAAUCAGGCGCCCGUACCGCAAACCGACACAGGUAGAUGAGGAGAGGAUCCUAAGGCCAGCGGGAGAAGGGUUGUUAAGGAACUCGGCAUAUUGACCCCGUAACUUCGGAAGAAGGGGUGCCUCCGUAAGGAGGCCGCAGUGAAAAGGCCCAGGCAACUGUUUAUCAAAAACACAGGUUUCUGCAAAAGCGAAAGCUGAAGUAUAGGAGCUGACGCCUGCCCGGUGCUGGAAGGUCAAGGGGAUCGCUUAGCGCAAGCGAAGGCGAGAACUUAAGCCCCAGUAAACGGCGGCCGUAACUAUAACGGUCCUAAGGUAGCGAAAUUCCUUGCCAGGUAAGUUCUGGCCUGCACGAAUGGCGUAAUGAUCUGGGCACUGUCUCAACAGCCCGCCCGGCGAAAUUGUAGUACUGGUGAAGAUGCCAGUUUCCUGCGACUAGACGGAAAGACCCCAUGGAGCUUUACUGUAGUCUGAUACUGAAAUUUGGUUCAUUAUGCACAGGAUAGGUGGGAGACAGAGAAACCCGGGCUUUGGCUUGGGCGGAGUCGCCGUUGGGAUACCACUCUUGAUGAACCAAGUUUCUAACCUGCUCCCGUGAUCCGGGAGGGGGACAAUGUCAGAUGGGCAGUUUGACUGGGGCGGUCGCCUCCAAAAGAGUAACGGAGGCGUUCAAAGGUUGGCUCAGCGCGGACGGAAAUCGCGCAAUGAGUAUAAACGUAUAAGCCAGCCUAACUGUGAGACCUACAAGUCGAGCAGUAACGAAAGUUGGAGUUAGUGAUCAGGUGG